This is a small nuclear RNA of Lontra canadensis (Northern American river otter), 102 nucleotides long. The record is from RefSeq and is a predicted model, not a curated record. Lineage: Eukaryota; Metazoa; Chordata; Mammalia; Carnivora; Mustelidae.
GGCAACACAUGUGCUAAAUACUAAAAUUGCAAAGAUACAGAGAAGAUUAACAUGCCCCUGCACAAGGAUGACAUGCAGAUUCAUGAAGCAUUCCAUAUUUUU